Molecule: ribosomal RNA, 497 nt
Filed under: uncultured bacterium
Lineage: Bacteria
Description: partial 16S ribosomal RNA
Rfam family: Bacterial small subunit ribosomal RNA
Source: RNAcentral
GAUGAACGCUGGCGGCGUGCCUAAUACAUGCAAGUCGAGCGAACAGACGAGGAGCUUGCUCCUCUGACGUUAGCGGCGGACGGGUGAGUAACACGUGGAUAACCUACCUAUAAGACUGGGAUAACUUCGGGAAACCGGAGCUAAUACCGGAUAAUAUAUUGAACCGCAUGGUUCAAUAGUGAAAGACGGUCUUGCUGUCACUUAUAGAUGGAUCCGCGCCGCAUUAGCUAGUUGGUAAGGUAACGGCUUACCAAGGCGACGAUGCGUAGCCGACCUGAGAGGGUGAUCGGCCACACUGGAACUGAGACACGGUCCAGACUCCUACGGGAGGCAGCAGUAGGGAAUCUUCCGCAAUGGGCGAAAGCCUGACGGAGCAACGCCGCGUGAGUGAUGAAGGUCUUCGGAUCGUAAAACUCUGUUAUUAGGGAAGAACAAAUGUGUAAGUAACUGUGCACGUCUUGACGGUACCUAAUCAGAAAGCCACGGCUAACUACGUG